Molecule: ribosomal RNA, 1409 nt
Filed under: uncultured bacterium
Lineage: Bacteria
Description: 16S ribosomal RNA
Rfam family: Bacterial small subunit ribosomal RNA
Source: RNAcentral
AGGACGAACGCUGGCGGCGUGCUUAACACAUGCAAGUCGAACGGUAAGGCCCUUCGGGGUACACGAGUGGCGAACGGGUGAGUAACGCGUGAGUAACCUGCCCUUCACUCUGGGAUAACAGUUGGAAACGGCUGCUAAUACCGGAUAUUCAGCUCCUGUCGCAUGGUGGGGGUUGGAAAGUUUUGGUGGUGGAGGAUGGGCUCGCGUCCUAUCAGCUUGUUGGUGGGGUGAUGGCCUACCAAGGCGUCACGGGUAGCCCGCCUGAGAGGGCGACCGGCCCCAUUGGGGACUGAAUACGCCCAACUCCUACGGGAGGCAGCAGUGGGGAAUAUUGCACAAUGGCGGAACUGAUGCAGCACCCCGCGUGCGGGAUGACGCCUUCGGGUUGUAAACCGCUUUCAGCAGGGACGAAGCGUGAGUGACGGUACCUGCAGAAGAAGCACCGGCUAACUACGUGCCAGCAGCCGCGGUGAUACGUAGGGUGCGAGCGUUGUCCGGAUUUAUUGGGCGUAAAGAGCUUGUAGGCGGUUGGUUGCGUCGAAAGUGCAAACUCAGGGCUUAACUCUGAGCCUGCUUUCGAUACGGGCUGACUGGAGGAAGGUAGGGGAGAAUGGAAUUCCCGGUGGAGCGGUGGAAUGCGCAGAUAUCGGGAGGAACACCAGUGGCGAAGGCGGUUCUCUGGACCUUUCCUGACGCUGAGAAGCGAAAGCGUGGGGAGCAAACAGGCUUAGAUACCCUGGUAGUCCACGCUGUAAACGGUGGGUACUAGUGUGGGGGACAUUCCACGUUCUCUGUGCCGUAGCUAACGCCAUAAUACCCCGCUGGGAUACGCCCAGGCUUAAACUCAAGUAAUUGACGGCCCGCCAAGCGGCGAGCAUGCGGGAUAUCGAUGCAACGCGCGAGACUUACCUGGGUUUGACAUAUAUCGGAACGUUCAGAGAUGGGCGCCCCGUAAGGUCGGUAUACAGGUGGUGCAUGGCUGUCGUCAGCUCGUCGUGAGAUGUUGGGUUAAGUCCCGCAACGAGCGCAACCCUCGUCCAAUGUUGCCAGCGGGUUAUGCCGGGGACUCAUUGGAGACCGCCGGGGUCAACUCGGAGGAAGGUGGGGAUGACGUCAAGUCAUCAUGCCCCUAUGUCCAGGGCUUCACGCAUGCUACAAUGGCCGGUACAAAGAGUUGCGAGCCUGUGAAGGUGAGCGAAUCUCAAAAAGCCGGUCUCAGUUCGGAUUGGGGUCUGCAACUCGACCCCAUGAAGUCGGAGUCGCUAGUAAUCGCAGAUCAGCAACGCUGCGGUGAAUACGUUCCGGGGCUUGUACACACCGCCCGUCAAGUCAUGAAAGUCGGUAACACCCGAAGCCGGUGGCCUAACCCGUUUGGGGGGGAGCUGUCGAAGGUGGGACUGGUAAUUAGG